This 208-nucleotide ribosomal RNA is filed under the name uncultured bacterium. RNAcentral's name for it is "partial 16S ribosomal RNA". It matches the Rfam family "Bacterial small subunit ribosomal RNA", at positions 568 to 774 of the family's 1533-position model. The record is from RNAcentral.
CUCGUAGGCGGUUUGUCACGUCGGGAGUAGAAAACACGGAGCUUAACUCCGUGCCUGCUUCCGAUACGGGCUGACUAGAGGUAUGCAGGGGAGAACGGAAUUCCUGGUGUAGCGGUGAAAUGCGCAGAUAUCAGGAGGAACACCGGUGGCGAAGGCGGUUCUCUGGGCAUUACCUGACGCUGAGGAGCGAAAGUGUGGGGAGCGAACA